AGUGAACGCUGGCGGUAGGCCUAACACAUGCAAGUCGAACGGAAGCACAGUAAGAGCUUGCUCUUACGGGUGGCGAGUGGCGGACGGGUGAGGAAUACAUCGGAAUCUACUUUUUCGUGGGGGAUAACGUAGGGAAACUUACGCUAAUACCGCAUACGACCUACGGGUGAAAGCAGGGGUUCUUGGGACUUUGCCCGAUUGAUUUAGCCGAUGUCGGAUUAGCUAGUUGGCGGGGUAAAGGCCCACCAAGGCAACGAUCCGUAGCUGGUCUGAGAGGAUGAUCAGCCACACUGGAACUGAGACACGGUCCAGACUCCUACGGGAGGCAGCAGUGGGGAAUAUUGGACAAUGGGCGCAAGCCUGAUCCAGCCAUACCGCGUGAGUGAAGAGGGCCUUCGGGUUGUAAAGCCCUUUUGUUGGGAAAGAAAAGCAGCAGGUUAAUACCCCGCUGUUCUGACGGUACCCAAAGAAUAAGCACCGGCUAACUUCGUG
This 492-nucleotide ribosomal RNA is filed under the name uncultured bacterium. RNAcentral describes it as "partial 16S ribosomal RNA". It matches the Rfam family "Bacterial small subunit ribosomal RNA", at positions 29 to 507 of the family's 1533-position model. The record is from RNAcentral.